RNAcentral lists this transfer RNA (85 nucleotides) under Acidobacteriota bacterium. RNAcentral's name for it is "tRNA-Leu". It matches the Rfam family "tRNA". From Rfam's summary of the family: Transfer RNA (tRNA) molecules are approximately 80 nucleotides in length. Lineage: Bacteria; Pseudomonadati; Acidobacteriota. The record is from RNAcentral.
GCCCGAGUGGCGGAAUGGCAGACGCAGAGGACUUAAAAUCCUCCGGGGGGCAUCCCCCGUGUGGGUUCGAAUCCCACCGCCGGCA